AGGAGGCGGGGCGCCGGGGAAACGCAGUAGGAGGAGUGACGGGAACCGGGAGCCGGCUCCAUGCGCCUGGAGCGCGCGGGUCCCAGCGCCCAUCGGCCCGGGGUCCGAGGGGCCCGCUGCCCGGGCUCGCUGCGUGGUGCUACCGCCCCCGGGCCCGCUGCGCCGCGUCGGAGCCCCAGCAGACUUUGAGAGGCGUGUGCGACAGUGCGCGUCCUCUCCUGCCUCUGGAUGUUUCCUUGGAGCCUCUGGCCUUCGGGAAGACCGUGCCACUGGGUUAGAGUCUCCCCGACCAAGCUGGUCUCAGCAAGUGGUCUCCAUCAUGGGGGCUCGAAUCCAGGUUGAAGGGUCACCAGAGUGAUGGUUGGAGAACAUGGAACUAGCUGGAGGACACCUGAGUACUCUUAAAGCAAACCCCGUGUUAAUUGAAAAUGCUCAGUUACGAUUUCAUACAGAUGAACAACUGAAGACAAAAACAACAAAGGGGGAGAAAGAGGGAUUAUGGGACAGCCCAUAUACAAUUGAAUCUAGCAUUAUUAACUUUAAAUUUUUUGAGUCUGCCUAAAGGCCAGAUGUUAUCAGCAGCUGAACAGCAUUUACAGAAACCGGCUGCAAAGACAGAAGCAGAACAACUGGUUUGGUGGAGAGAUCCGAUAACAAAAAGUUGGGAAAUAGGUAAAAUAAUAACUUGGGGUAGAGGUUAUGUUUGUGUUUCUCCAGGCCAAAAUCAAUAACCAAUUUGGAUACCAUCAAGACACCUGAAACCUUAUCAUGAGCCAGAUGCUGAGGAAGAGAUUCCAGGAGGAUCCUGAGGACCCCCUGGUUGCAGCCACGUCGAGGCUGACACUGAGGAGGACCCCAACUGUCAUGAGCAACACCCGUCGAACACAGCCAUCCACCUGGGGACAAAUCAAGAAGCUGUCACAGAUGAUGGAAGAAAACCUGAGGAAAGCGGGACAACCAAUCACAAUGAGUAAUUUGGUGAUCUAUCACAGUGAUGAUCACCAUUGCCAUGAGUAUUCCUUCAACAAGGGCUGACACAGAGAACAAUUAUACUUAUUGGGCAUAUUUAUCAAUCUUGUCUGGCAAUAAUGCCUAGAUGAUUUCACUCUAUGGCACAGUUACACAUGCUUUCUGAUCUCAGUAUUUACCAUAAUAAAUCUGCUCCUAUAAUUGAGGCAUACCACCCUCAAAAACCUAUUUGUAAACAAAAUAGAACCUGGCCAGAAAUAAUGAACAACUUGUUUAGUAAGAUUGCAUUGCAGAACAGGCAGAGAUGCUACGCAAUGAUUCCUAUGGGAUCAUUGAUUGGUCCCCUAAGGGGAUGUUUAGCUUAAAUUGCACCUCUCAGUCUGCAUGCCAUGGCCACACUAGUUCAGAUGGUCUGAACAAAGUGGUCAGAUGGCAGAAAUGAUAAGAAGUAUGGCAAAAGUUCCUAUUGUCUGGAACCAUGGCAGUAUAGUGUCACCUCAACCUCAAAUGAUAUGGCUCAUUGUAGGAGCUAAACAUAAGGAUUUGUGGAAACUAUUAAUAGCUCUUAAUAAGAUCAAAAUUUGGGAAAGAAUAAAAAAAGCAUCUAGAAAGACACUCUACAAACUUGUCUUUGGAUAUUACAAAAUUAAAAGAACAAAUAUUUAAAGCAUCCCAGGUACACCUGACCUUAAUGACAGAAACUGGAGUGCUUGAAGGAGCUGCAGACAGAUUAGCAGCUAGUAACCCAUUAAAAUGGAUAAAAACACUUGGAAGCUCUGUGAUUUCAAUGAUGAUUGUGCUUUUAAUCGGUAUUGUUUGUCUUUGUAUAGUGUGCAGAUGUGGAUCCUGACUCCUGUGAGAAGUAGCUCACAGUGUCAAAGCUGCCUUUGCUUUUAUCGAUUUGCAAAUCAAAUAAGGGGGACAUAUUGGGAACAGCACCCCCCCCCCCAAAAUCUGGCCAUAAACUGGUCCCAAAACUGGCCAUAAACAAAAUCUCUGCAGCACUGACAUGUUCAUGAUGGUCUUAAUGCCCACGCUGGAAGGUUGUGGGUUUACCAGAAUGAGAGCAAGGAACACCUGGCCCACCCAGGGUGGAAAACCACUUAAAGGCAUUCUUAAACCACAAACAAUAGCAUGAGUGAUCUGUGCCUUAAGGCUGUGCUACUGCUGCAGAUAACUAGCCCAACCCAUCCCUUUAUUUCAGCCCAUCCCUUCGUUUCCCAUAAGGGAUACUUUUAAUUAAUCUAAUAUGUAUAGAAAGAAUGCUAAUGACUGGCUUGCUGUUAAUAAAUAACGUGGGUAAAUCUCUGUUGGAGGCUCUCAGCUCUGAAGGCUGUGAGACCCCGGAUUUCCCACUUCAC
Molecule: long non-coding RNA, 2330 nt
Organism: Homo sapiens (human)
Lineage: Eukaryota; Metazoa; Chordata; Mammalia; Primates; Hominidae
Gene: PM20D1-AS1
Product: PM20D1 antisense RNA 1
Source: Ensembl